This 916-nucleotide ribosomal RNA is filed under the name uncultured archaeon. Its description in RNAcentral is "SSU rRNA". It matches the Rfam family "Archaeal small subunit ribosomal RNA", at positions 1 to 922 of the family's 1478-position model. The record is from RNAcentral.
UUUCCGGUUGAUCCCGCCGGACCUGACUGCUAUCGGAUUGAUACUAAGCCAUGCGAGUCUUUGUAGUAAUACAAGGCAGACGGCUCAGUAACACGUAGUCAACCUACCCUAUGGACAAGAAUAAUCUCGGGAAACUGGGCAUAAUUCUUGAUAGAUCAUAAUGCCUGGAAUGGUUUAUGGUUAAAAUGAUUCGUCGCCAUAGGAUGUGACUGCGGCCUAUCAGCUUGUUGGUGAGGUAAUGGCCCACCAAGGCGAUUACAGGUACGGGCUCUGAGAGGAGAAGCCCGGAGAUGGGUACUGAGACACGGACCCAGGCCCUAUGGGGCGCAGCAGGCGAGAAAACUUUGCAAUGUGCGAAAGCACGACAAGGUUAAUCCGAGUGAUUUCUGCUAAAGAAAUCUUUUGCCAGUCAUAAAACCACUGGUGAAUAAGGGGUGGGCAAGUUCUGGUGUCAGCCGCCGCGGUAAAACCAGCACCUCAAGUGGUCAGGAUGAUUAUUGGGCCUAAAGCAUCCGUAGCCGGCUUUGUAAGUUUUCGGUUAAAUCCAUGUGCUCAACGCAUGGGCUGCCGAAAAUACUGCAUGGCUAGGGAGUGGGAGAGGUAGACGGUACUCAGUAGGAAGGGGUAAAAUCCUUUGAUCUAUUGAUGACCACCUGUGGCGAAGGCGGUCUACCAGAACACGUUCGACGGUGAGGGAUGAAAGCUGGGGGAGCAAACCGGAUUAGAUACCCGGGUAGUCCCAGCUGUAAACGAUGCAGACUCGAUGAUGCAUUGGCAUAAUAGCCAGUGCAGUGUCGCAGGGAAGCCGUUAAGUCUGCCGCCUGGGAAGUACGUACGCAAGUAUGAAACUUAAAGGAAUUGGCGGGGGAGCACCACAAGGGGUGAAGCCUGCGGUUCAAUUGGAGUCAACGCCGGG